GAUAGCUAAUGUAAUUAACACUAGCUAUCUAGCUUAAUGUCAGCUAACAAUUAGAAAAAACGCUAGCUAACGCUACCGACUGGUACUGACCUCGCAAAACGUCUCUCGAAUGCAAUGCUACCUUGUUGCAACGUUGCAAUGUAGCUAACUAAAGGUCAGUUCAGAUCAAUGAUUCGUAACGAGACUGUAUGCAACUUGCAAAAUUCCAAGACGUCUGAAUGUAAACGUUCUAACUGCACUUGCCAAUUUGACAAGGUGGGUCUUUUGAGACCAGGCAACGGCUUCAGACGCUCUGCAACUAACCAGUUCACACCGCUGCAUUUUUCUCUGCAACAUUCUAAAACAGUUUCGUCUCGUUGCGAAUCAUUGAUCUGAAUUGGCGUUACCGUUAUUUACAUUGCUAUCAAGUUCAUCAAUAUAUUAUAAUGAUCGGAAUAAAGCCGUCUUUACACAGAGCAUUAACCUGGGGUAUAGGUGGAGCAGAGCCGAGUCUAAUUUCUGUGUAAAGAUGUCAAGCCGGAGAAAACUAAAUUUUUAUUUAUUUUUAGAUAUAGGAUAUGAUGGAUAAGCAGGUAUAGGGUUCUAGGGUGGCUGACAUGGAUAGGGAUUUUAUAUAGUAGGACUCGGUGUAAAGCAUGGAGGAUAAAAUAUAGCUUAGGGUGAAGGGAUUUUUUAGUGUAAAUCUAUUGUCUGAUACACACUCCGGAGCAGAAGGUGGCGGUAAUUCACCAAUAAGCUGUGUACCACCCGCUGUAAAACAAGAAGACGGUAUAUUCAAUCACAUGCGCAUGUUGCUGUGACGUGGUCUUAGAAGAAGGUCGUUGUGAUUUCAAAUUCUCCGUGGGAAAAUCUGGCGGCGUUCAAGAGCAGAGUUCUCUACAUUUGGCCCAACAGCUCAAAUGGAAACUAGAGCACAAGAUCAGAAUGAAGCUCCCACACAUGGCCUUAUGACUGUUGCCCCAGUGAAGAACCUGAGGUCCAGCCUUCCCCACUCAAGACAUGCCUGAGACAAGAGUGACUGUAUUCCAAGUUGAUCCAAGAUUCGACAUCUUUGGAGGUAAGUGGAUUUCUUCUGCUGCUUCUCUGCGCUACUACAGUGGUGGUACAGUUCAGCAGUUGCAGCCAAGCUAAUUGAUGGGACGAUUCUGAAAGAUCGGAACUGUUGCUUUCAUCUGAAAUCCUGGUAGGACUGAUCAUUGCCAGAACACUGAAGGACACAUUUAAUAGACUGUAUAUUUUCAUUCCCUUCAUUGGACUGAAAAAAGGGAAUCACUGUUUCAUUGGUUGAAGUUACUUUUAUUGCUCUGUUGAUUGAUAUUGAUAUUGGGGGAAUUGAUACUAUUUCUUUUAAAAGGUAUUUUGAUACAUACACCAAUGGUAAAAGAUCUUUUGAUGUAUAUACAUUGAGGUUAAAAUGUGUUUUGCUAAUACACAAAAAGGGGUUUAGCUCAUGAAAAAAAAAACAGCGUGUGAGUUAAACUAGUUGAGAUGAAACAUUGCUAUCAGAUUUUAAAAAUAAUGCAAAAAAAAAAUGGUCACAAUGCGGUACACUCUCUAAAUGUGUAAUUAACUUGUGUGUAUUUCUAUACUCUGUACUCUCGUAUGGGGAUGAGACGACUUGAAAACAAUUUUCAACUGUCCACCACGUUUUGCCAAUGUUCCAACUCUCACGUCAUCACUGUUACAUGUUCACAAAAUCUAUUACACUACCAUCUAACGCUUACAUUAUAGUGUGAAAUAUCCACAUUAUAUAACACCACUAACCUAUUUAAAGAUACUCAGUUUCAAAAAUAACGUAUAUAACCGAACUAUUUUGAGCAGUAAUACUUACAUAGCAAUGAUGAAAUCUCAUCUAUGUUCAGUAGAUGGAGACAGAGACGGUAUCAGUGAUACUGUUCUAUUCGCUUCUGUUUUACUCCAGAAAAUGAUGUCUGCUAGGUCUAUCAGCAAACAUAUGGCUUAGCUAUGUCCAGAAGUCUUCAAUAAUAAUAGUAUUUUCCAAGAAAUUGAGAUCGGUGACUACAUUUUGUUAGAUGCAGCAUAUUUUCUGCUAACAUAGAGUGAAUGCGUAGGUGAAUGCGAUGCUAAGAAUAUUUUCUGUUGCGCUGACCUAUAAAACGCUAUUCCAAAAGCAGAAUUAGACAUGUUGUACAUCGUUAGAAAGCUCAUACUCUCACCUACUGAAUAAAUGAAUUGUCAAUCAAGCCAGACUGUACUAAAAAGGGCAACGACGCUGUAAACAACAGGUGUGGUAUUACGCACAGCUAUUUUGGAAGAUACAAUGUAUAACAUGUCUAAUUUUGCUUUUGGAAUAGCGUUUCAUUGGUCAGCAUAAUCGAAAGUUUUGUUAUCGCAUUCACUUACACAUUCACUCUGUGGUAGCAGUGAAAUACGCUGCACCUAACAACGUUGUUAAUGAUUUUUCAUAAUUUCUUGUAAAAUACUAUUAUUAUUGAGGACUUCUGGGCAUAGCUAAGCGAUAUGUUUGCUGAUAGACCUAGCUGACAUCGUUUUCUGGUGUAAGACAGAAGCGGAUAGGAAUAUCAUUGAUUUACUCUUUCUUAAUCUGUUGAAAACGGAUAAGAUUUCAUCAUUGCUAUGUAAGUAUUACUGCUCUAAAUAUUUUGGUUAUAUACGUUAUUUUUGAAAUUGAGUGUCUUUACAUAGGUUAGUGGUAUUUUAUAAUGAGGAUAUUUUACACUAAUGUAAGCGUUAGUAGUGUAAUCAUGUCUUUCUAUGAUUUACCAUGUAAAGCAGCUAACGUUGACAAUUAAACACUACCACAAUUCGGAACAAUUAACAAUCAUAAUCGCUAUCUUACUUGUAAGCUAUGACCUAUAGUUUUACAGACUAAAUAACUACAAUUUAUAAAUCUAUCACGGAACCUCAUCACUUGACAUUUGGCUACUCGAUGCUGUCGUAGACGAUGACAUCAUUUUUAGAACUUAGAGGCCUCCGUAGCUUCUCCUACGUCCUUGGAAAGGGGGGGGGGGUAUUCAGUUGGUUGCAAUCUGCAACCUCACCGCUAGAUGCCACUAAAUUCUACACACUGCACCUUUAAAUAGGAAUUCAGUAAAAUUACAACCCUCUGCAUGCACAGUGCAUUCUCCAAUCAUGUGUGCAGCCCACAUUACUGCCAACACUACCUGAACCAAAGGACUACAGGCUUUCAGGUAAGUUUUGAUUAUAUUAAUGGAGUGAAUAUAUAUUACGUUUUUUUAAUGACAUUUCAGUUAACCGGCAGAUAGUAGCCUAAUGCAAAGUACACUGUUUAUACCUUGUUAACACCUUCUGCUAGCUAGCUGUUACCAUGUGAUGUAGCUUGAUUGAGCAUGCUAAUUGAGGAGUUUUAAUUAAUCUAUUUACAUUCAUUCUUUAUUGUAAAACAUUUAUUUUAUAAAUGGGUUGUUCACUUUAAACCCUAAGGCAUAUUCUAAAUUGUUAUUUCAUUGUUUUGUUUUCGUCAUGGAAGAAGGGGUCAUAAGGAAUAUUUUUUGUUGAUUAAAUUAACGCUAUCUAAUAAGUAGGCAUUUUUAUCACUGGUAAGCGGCAUGGAGACAUUGUGUAAGUAUUGGUAAUUUUGGACAAGCAGUUAACCUCUCCAAUACUUCCCGUCUUUGGUCACGUAGUGUGCUGCCAAUGUCACCUGGCAUUACUCACGGAAAACUGCUCAUCACUAGAACAACUGGGGUCAACUUACCUCAUGCGCAGUAAAAUGGGAUCUCAU
Long non-coding RNA from Anguilla rostrata (American eel), 3727 nucleotides. RefSeq lists it as uncharacterized. Lineage: Eukaryota; Metazoa; Chordata; Actinopteri; Anguilliformes; Anguillidae. The record is from RefSeq and is a predicted model, not a curated record. The transcript has 4 exons.